RNAcentral lists this ribosomal RNA (483 nucleotides) under uncultured bacterium. RNAcentral's name for it is "partial 16S ribosomal RNA". It matches the Rfam family "Bacterial small subunit ribosomal RNA", at positions 30 to 506 of the family's 1533-position model. The record is from RNAcentral.
AUUGAACGCUGGCGGCAGGCCUAACACAUGCAAGUCGAGCGGAUGAAGGGAGCUUGCUCCUGGAUUCAGCGGCGGACGGGUGAGUAAUGCCUAGGAAUCUGCCUGGUAGUGGGGGAUAACGUCCGGAAACGGGCGCUAGUACCGCAUACGUCCUGAGGGAGAAAGUGGGGGACCUUCGGACCUCACGCUAUCAGAUGAGCCUAGGUCGGAUUAGCUAGUUGGUGGGGUAAAGGCCUACCAAGGCGACGAUCCGUAACUGGUCUGAGAGGAUGAUCAGUCACACUGGAACUGAGACACGGUCCAGACUCCUACGGGAGGCAGCAGUGGGGAAUAUUGGACAAUGGGCGAAAGCCUGAUCCAGCCAUGCCGCGUGUGUGAAGAAGGUCUUCGGAUUGUAAAGCACUUUAAGUUGGGAGGAAGGGCAGUAAGUUAAUACCUUGCUGUUUUGACGUUACCAACAGAAUAAGCGCCGGCUAACUUCGU